Molecule: small nucleolar RNA, 71 nt
Filed under: Chelydra serpentina (North American snapping turtle)
Lineage: Eukaryota; Metazoa; Chordata; Testudines; Chelydridae
Description: Small nucleolar RNA SNORD59 (ENSCSRG00000014778.1)
Rfam family: Small nucleolar RNA SNORD59
About the family: U59 belongs to the C/D class of snoRNA which contain the C (UGAUGA) and D (CUGA) box motifs. Most of the members of the box C/D family function in directing site-specific 2'-O-methylation of substrate RNAs.
Source: Rfam by way of RNAcentral
CCUUCGCUGAUGAUCCAGGAUGACUUUCGUUCUUCUGAGCAAGCUGAAGCCAGGACCCUGAUCUGAGGAGG